UGGGGAAUAUUGCGCAAUGGGGGCAACCCUGACGCAGCAACGCCGCGUGCAGGAAGAAGGUCUUCGGAUUGUAAACUGUUGUCGCAAGGGAAGAAGACAGUGACGGUACCUUGUGAGAAAGUAACGGCUAACUACGUGCCAGCAGCCGCGGUAAUACGUAGGUGACAAGCGUUGUCCGGAUUUACUGGGUGUAAAGGGCGCGUAGGCGGACUGUCAAGUCAGUCGUGAAAUACCGGGGCUUAACCCCGGGGCUGCGAUUGAAACUGACAGCCUUGAGUAUCGGAGAGGAAAGCGGAAUUCCUAGUGUAGCAGUGAAAUGCGUAGAUAUUAGGAGGAACGCCAGAAGCGAAAGCGGGGCACUGUGCCGAUUCUGACGCUGAGACGCGAAAGCGUGGGGAGCAAGCA
RNAcentral lists this ribosomal RNA (405 nucleotides) under uncultured prokaryote. Its description in RNAcentral is "bacterial SSU rRNA". It matches the Rfam family "Bacterial small subunit ribosomal RNA", at positions 355 to 774 of the family's 1533-position model. The record is from RNAcentral.